This 1317-nucleotide long non-coding RNA is filed under the name Sarcophilus harrisii (Tasmanian devil). RNAcentral describes it as "lncRNA (ENSSHAG00000027995.1)". The record is from RNAcentral. Lineage: Eukaryota; Metazoa; Chordata; Mammalia; Dasyuromorphia; Dasyuridae.
AGGGCAUCAGGCUUGAGGGGAUUCGGGGGCUCCCUCCACUCCGAACCCCGAAUCUUCGACUUUGAAUUCGAAGGGGGGAAGGGCUUGGAGGGAGAGGCCAAGGCCAAAGGCUCGAGAGGAACUCUUUUUUUAGAGCUCGCGGAGGAAUCGUCCCGAUGAGCGUCACCUCGGUGAUGCGUCCCGAGCCCUAUAUAAGCCGCUCUUCCUGGCUCCGGAGAAGCAUAGAGCAGGCGGGAGGCGACCGUAGCCUUUCAGAGUAGUCAGCCAGCUGCCAGCGGGAUUUGGGUUGGGGCUUCCAGGAAUGGCUCCCAGGGAGAAAGGAGAAGGGGGCUCGGGGAGAAAGCGGCACUUAACAGGGGCCUCUCGGGAGCUUAGUGAGCUGUGGACGGGCGAAGCAAGAGAGGGAAGGGUGGAGAAAAGCUUUGUGGGGUGAGACUGGAUUCCUUUUGCAGUAAAUAGGAGUCUUGAUCCACGGCUGUUAAUCUGCCCGUUGGAGGAGAAAGGAGCUUUCUGGAAGGGCACCCCCGAGAUUAUGGCUUAGAAGCGGGGGUGCCCUGGCAAAGGGUUUGUGGACCAUCCUGGGGGUGUGAGACUGGGAAAGCCCCAGGAGGUGCUGCUCAGCACAGAUGUUGUGGAAAAGGACUUAGCUCCUGGAGGCUCAGGGUGUGUUCAUCCGGACGGUCUGAUGGCAGCAUCAGAAAUGGAGCAGUUUGCCCAAUGAGCCCCUAGCGAGCGUGCGGCAGGGAGAGAGCUCACCGAGAAAGCUCGUUUCCUUCAGAGCCAUCGUAGUUGAUGCCUCCAGUCUUGUAAAGAAAGCUCAUCAGCUUAAUGUUGGCAGAGCCCCUUCAGGAAGUGGUCGCGGUUGAGGUUGCUGGCCUUUUCAGUGUCACGUGGGUGUGUUGAUAAUUUGGCCGCCAGCGCCAGCGGCCCGGGGGAGACGCCUCCGGGCCACAUCCUGGCGUCUCUGCUGAGGAUGGGCCGCGGCCUCGGAGCCUCGGCCCCUCCCGCCGUGGCUGUUAGGGCCCCGGCAGCCCAGCCGACCUUUAAAGUGCCCGGGGGGUGGGGGUUGUCAGGUGCCAGCUUCCCAGUCCGAGGCUCCUCCGCGUAAGCCGGUUUCCAGUUAAGAACUUCUUGGCGCCAAGAAGACCGAGCUGGGAAGCGCCACGAACUAUUGUAAGAUGGAACUGAGAUACGGACCCCGCCCGCGGGCGGCCGCUUCUAGAGCGGCCGAGGGAUCGCGCUCCUGCACUGCUUAAAGCCAAAGGACCCGAGCAGUGAGCUCGCGGCAGAGCCGAACCGUACACGGAGAGGGGCCGG